Molecule: transfer RNA, 75 nt
Filed under: Blautia luti
Lineage: Bacteria; Bacillati; Bacillota; Clostridia; Lachnospirales; Lachnospiraceae
Also listed under: 1 other name
Description: tRNA-Thr(ggt)
Rfam family: tRNA
About the family: Transfer RNA (tRNA) molecules are approximately 80 nucleotides in length.
Source: RNAcentral
AGCUGCUGUGGCUCAGUCGGUAGAGCGUCGCCUUGGUAAGGCGGAGGUCACGGGUUCGAUUCCCGUCAGCAGCUU